RNAcentral lists this ribosomal RNA (668 nucleotides) under Hepatozoon canis. RNAcentral's name for it is "SSU rRNA". The record is from RNAcentral. Lineage: Eukaryota; Apicomplexa; Hepatozoidae.
UUAUAUAUGAAGAAAAUCUCAACUUUAUUAGAAGAGACGCAUUUAUUAGAUAAAAAGCCAGUUCAUGCUUUUAYAGUAUGAAAAUUGGUGAUUUAUAAUAACUUAGCAAAUCGCAAAGUGAAAACAGGCGAUAAAUCAUUCAAGUUUCUGACCUAUCAGCUUUCGACGGUAUGGUAUUGGCUUACCGUGGCAGUGACGGUUAACGGGGGAUUAGGGUUCGAUUCCGGAGAGGGAGCCUGAGAAACGGCUACCACAUCUAAGGAAGGCAGCAGGCGCGCAAAUUACCCAAUUCUAACAGUUUGAGAGAGGUAGUAACAAGAAAUAACAAUACAAGGCAGUUAAAAUGCUUUGUAAUUGGAAUGAUAGAAAUUUAAACCCUUUUUAAAGUAUCAAUUGGAGGGCAAGUCUGGUGCCAGCAGCCGCGGUAAUUCCAGCUCCAAUAGCGUAUAUUAAAAUUGUUGCAGUUAAAAAGCUCGUAGUUGAAGUUCUGCUGAAAGUAACCGGUCUGCUUUUAAUAAAAGUGGUAUCUUGGUAUGUAUUUAGCAAUGAUGUCCUUUGAAGUGUUUUUUACUUUAUUGUAAUAAAGCAUAUUCAGGACUUUUACUUUGAGAAAAUUAGAGUGUUUCUAGCAGGCUGACGCUUUGAAUACUGCAGCAUGGAAUAAUAAA